AUGACGGCGGGGGCGGGCGCUGGUGGGGGCGGCGGGCCAGGCCCUCCCCGUGCUUCUCCGCCCUUCCCGCCCCGCCCACGGCCCUCCUCCUGGCAGCCCAGCAACAAGCGGCCACCGGCCCCACCCCGGGGCGGGCAGAAGCGCAGCAACCCCGCGAUGCUCCCGGAAGACACCGCGUCUCCAACAUUUACACGGAGAUGGUGCUCGGCUCAGGUCGGGUCCGUACGCUUCCCGAGGUGCGUACUACGAGAGCCACACACAUCACUACCGAUAUUCCUGGGAAAGUCAGUGCCACAGUUCCGACCUGAAUCCGAAAGUGCUUCUAAAUCCCAUGCUUCACAGAACGUUCGGAAGGGGAGGCGCUCCGUGGGGGCUGCUGCGUGCCCAUGUAGCUGAACCGACUCGAAUAAAAGCGUGUCCACGUCUACAUCACACAUCUGUGUAAAUGCAGAAGCCUGCGGAUGCGCGGAGCUGGCCAGACUUCACAGUGUGCAGACACAUGGGCUCAUGCACGCGCGCGCGCUCACACACACUCACACCCCAAAUUACCUCCGGGAUGGAGAAAGCCGCUGCUUAUUGGCCAACAGAGCCGUCACUCAUGCCCAGGGGGCAGGGAGACUUCGCAAAGCUGUUUCCUUUUUUUUUUUUUUUCUCUGCUCUCCUCCCUACCGUUUCAUUUAAUGGUAAAACAACAGCAGAGCUCUGAAAGUUAGCCAUCUGCGCGGAGUUUGCCUUCUUUAAGGAGGGAGGCGUCAGACGAUAUCCAUUUAAAUAUAUUUUGUACUUCCACAAAGGAUAGAAAGGGAAAUUAACGAAGGGAGUGGAGGCGGAAAGGGAGCUCCGAGUAAGAAGGAGGGGUCAUCCCGCGGGGGGGGAGGGGGCGGGGGCCGAGGGCCAACGCUGGGGAAAGAGUUGUUCUCUACACCGAAAAGGGACUUUGACCUUCCAUUGAUCUCUCAAAAUUAAAAAACGUUUCUUCACAGGUCAGAUUGCAACAAACGCUCGUUCCUAAUUUACGAACUCGUCCUUUUGAUUUUAUUAUUUAAGCAUGCGCCAGCAAUCGUGUUUCCUUAAGAAAGAACUGACCUAUUUUUGGCUGGAGAUAAACGAUCAUGUUAACAGAUGUUAAUCUUGUAAUCUGUUUUUCCUGUAAGCACUUUACCUACCCGGGUUUCAGACCUUAAAAAUAACAUCUUUUCCAAAAAGACCUGACGUCACAAUUCACUCCCUGAAAAAUCACACUCCCCCUCCGGUUUCUUCCCCUGCAAUGAUUUCAAAGACAUUAAAUCUUUUCCACUUUAUAAAUGCUGAUCUGUUCUGCCUCUACUCCCACAGGCUCUUAUUUGCAUUUCAAAUUCCACAGGUUACACCAGUCGCCUUUUCAAAAAAUGUAAACCAACAAUGAAGCAGCAAAUGGCUUUUUGUGCAUCUGGAUUAAAUAAAGCACAGAAUGAAUAUAUUUGAAAAGAGGACUGCGCAAGUUGAUCUUUGCACACCCAGAGACCCAGUGACUGUUUAUCAGCGGAAUGAGUAAGACACACAGCCCCCAGAGCUCCCUGUCUGAUCCCGGUCUGCUGCGGGAAGCUUAUUAACGCUGAUAAUAGAUGGGGCUGACUUACAGACCCACAUUUUUCGGAUAAAAGGCUGGUUCCCUCUGGUCCCUAAUUGCGGGGGUCCACUGGCUCUCCUCACCGCACACAUAAACUGCUGCUUUUAAAUACCCCACUCGGCUGCAGUUUAACAAACUUAUUCAUACAAAGUUUCUUUAAAACUUGAGGCGGUUUAAUCUAAAUACUGAUCGUAACUAUUCAGUCUGUUAGUUCUCCCUGGAAAUGGCAGCGGAGGCGCCUCCCCCCACCUCCCGCCCAACCACACACACCCCACCGCAUUCUUCCUUCAUACACCCGGGUUCAUCUCGCCACCGAGGCCUCCCCCACCCGCGCCCGGCGGGGCUCAGCUCCGAGGAGUCCCUGCCCACCACUCUUCGAGUCGGUGCCAGACCCUCGCCCCCACCCCCACCCCCGCCCGAACUUCCCUUCCAGGACCUCUCACUUCUUUAACGUUAGGGUCACUUAGAAGCUCCCCGCAGACUGGCAAGCAGCCGGGGAGGGGGCCGUAAAAAACAAGGCCACCCCCCCUCCACGCAAAUACGUCCCCUAGGCAGCAGCGCGCUGUGCCCACAGGCAUCGAUCCCAUCCGCCAAACCCUUAAUAAUUGAAGCGGCUCCUCGGGCCCGCAGCCCCAUCACCCACCUUCAUUAGCCGGAGCGUUUUACUUUAAAGUAAGGCAAUUUGCUCUUUGUCUCCUAAUGGAUGGAGAGCGCAUCCGAGCUCCCCUCCUCCCGCGUCGCCUUUGACGAAGUGUACAAAGCCAGAGCCUCUUCCGCGCUCCCACCCCGGCCCCCACCCCGCCCCUCCACUGCGGUAAAAACCACCUCCCGGGCGCUCGCCCCGCCGCCCGAAGUUGCAUCUUCCCCUAUCCUGGAAUUGCAGAGCAGACCAACUACCCACAGGGAAAGCCAAGUAGCCCUCCCCGCGCCCGGGGGCCCUCC
RNAcentral lists this long non-coding RNA (2551 nucleotides) under Macaca fascicularis (crab-eating macaque). RNAcentral describes it as "lncRNA (ENSMFAG00000065453.1)". The record is from RNAcentral. Lineage: Eukaryota; Metazoa; Chordata; Mammalia; Primates; Cercopithecidae.